RNAcentral lists this ribosomal RNA (485 nucleotides) under uncultured bacterium. Its description in RNAcentral is "bacterial SSU rRNA". It matches the Rfam family "Bacterial small subunit ribosomal RNA", at positions 30 to 521 of the family's 1533-position model. The record is from RNAcentral.
AUUGAACGCUGGCGGCAGGCCUAACACAUGCAAGUCGAGCGGGGUUUUCGGACCUAGCGGCGGACGGGUGAGUAAUGCGUAGGAAGCUACCCGAUAGAGGGGGAUACCAGUUGGAAACGACUGUUAAUACCGCAUAAUGUCUAUGGACCAAAGUGUGGGACCUUCGGGCCACAUGCUAUCGGAUGCGCCUACGUGGGAUUAGCUAGUUGGUGAGGUAAUGGCUCACCAAGGCGACGAUCUCUAGCUGGUUUGAGAGGAUGAUCAGCCACACUGGAACUGAGACACGGUCCAGACUCCUACGGGAGGCAGCAGUGGGGAAUAUUGGACAAUGGGCGCAAGCCUGAUCCAGCCAUGCCGCGUGUGUGAAGAAGGCCUUAGGGUUGUAAAGCACUUUCAAUUGGAAGGAAAAAACCAGGGUCAAUACCCCUGGUCUUGACAUUACCUUUAGAAGAAGCACCGGCUAACUCCGUGCCAGCAGCCGCGGU